CUCGAGAAUCCUGCUCCUCCGAGCAGUGCCCUUCCCACUCUGCUCCGUCGCCGAUCUCUUCUCUUCCGCCUUCUUCCUCUGGCGCCUCGUCGCCGCCACCUCCGCCGAGCCCACCGGUGCGACGGCGUCAGGCGAGCACGAGCACACCAGGCCAGCUCCCAGCAGCCCCAGGGCAAGCUUCUUGUCCGCGGGCCUGCGCUGCUCGAACCUCGCGCUCCUCGACGCGGGCGCGCGCGGGCGCGGCGCGUACACCUCGGGAGCGCCGACGACGCCGAGGCGUAUGACGCCCCACGCGACCGGCGGCGCGGACCCCGUGCUGCGGCGCGGCGGCGCGGGCGCGGCCGUCCGGCUUCGGCGCUGCGGCGACGGGCUCGGGUGCGCGUAGAACACGCUGCCCGAUGGCGAGCGCCGCGGCGGGACCGGGACCGGGACGGCGGAGGACGCGCUCUUGCCGGACGACGAGCUGCCGCUGCCGGCCGGGCCGGCGUGGUCCGAGCGCGCGCUGUUAGACGACGUGCUCCGGCUGACGCAGCAGCUGCUGCUGCUGCUGCCGCGGCUGACGGAGCGGGAGCUGAAGCCGCUGCUGGUGGUCGUGGACGCGGACGCGGACGCCGUCGCGGCGCCGUCCAGCGAGUCCGAGCGCAGCAGCAGCAGUGCGGCCGCGUCGGCCGAGGAGAGGCGGAGCGGGAGGAGCUUGCCGCCGUAGAAGACCUCGUCGGCCACGCACAUGCCGGGCGCGUCGUCCCCGACCGGCGCGAGACCGCCGGACGAGAGUAUGCAGAACUCGAAGUCGUCGUCGGGCGCCAGACGAUCUUCGGCGCCGAUGUGGGUGCGGGCGUCGCCGGCGCCUUGCCGGCACGCCAUGGAUGGUUUCUUGCUGUCUUGGUUUGGAGGGGGAAGGGAGCCAGAGACGGGGUGGGCUUGAGCUUGCUUGUGCAUUUCGGUUUCUUGCCCGGGCAAAGCGAGAGCGAGAGAAAGAGAGACGAUCGAGGGCGG
This 996-nucleotide unclassified non-coding RNA is filed under the name Zea mays. RNAcentral describes it as "misc RNA Zm00001eb393550". The record is from RNAcentral. Lineage: Eukaryota; Viridiplantae; Streptophyta; Magnoliopsida; Poales; Poaceae.